CGCCUUCGCCACGCCCGCUACAAGUAAACUUAAAGUGAAUUCGACGGGACCCCCGCACAAGCGGUGGAUCAUGUGUUUAAUUCGAUGAUACGCGAAGAACCUUACCAGGUCUUGACAUCCCCCGCGAUGCUUUUAGAGAUAAAGCGGAGGUAUUCGGGGAGACAGGUGGUGCAUGGUUGUCGUCAGCUCGUGUCGUGAGAUGUUGGGUUAAGUCCCGCAACGAGCGCAACCCCUAUUGCUAGUUACCAUCAUUAAGUUGGGGACUCUAGCGAGACUGCCAGUGAUAAACUGGAGGAAGGUGGGGAUGACGUCAAAUCAUCAUGCCCCUUAUGACCUGGGCUACAAACGUGAUACAAUGGCUGGAACAAAGGGAUGCGAAGCAGUGAUGUGGAGCGAAACCCAUAAAAACAGUCUCAGUUCGGAUUGAAGUCUGCAACUCGACUUCAUGAAGUCGGAAUCGCUAGUAAUCGCGGAUCAGAACGCCGCGGUGAAUACGUUCUCGGGGUUU
RNAcentral lists this ribosomal RNA (508 nucleotides) under uncultured Acholeplasma sp. RNAcentral describes it as "bacterial SSU rRNA". It matches the Rfam family "Bacterial small subunit ribosomal RNA", at positions 906 to 1382 of the family's 1533-position model. Lineage: Bacteria; Bacillati; Mycoplasmatota; Mollicutes; Acholeplasmatales; Acholeplasmataceae. The record is from RNAcentral.